AAAAAGUUACGGCACGGGAAAUGUUGACGAACUAGGCACUGUUUUUCAAACAAACAGGGAGAAAUUUGAAAGUUAAGAAUUAUGGAUUGUGUGCUAUACCAGGACAACAAUCUUGGACUCGUGAAGCAGGCUGCAACAUUCAGAGAUUGACGCUUACGUACUUGACCCUCUCACUUCAAGAUAUAGCCAAUACUGUUAAGCUCAACCGUCCUAAAGGAGCUGAAAUGCAUGUGCUACAAAUGUGAGGCAUGCUCAUCUGAAACAAUUUCACAAGACCAAUCCAGCUCAAUUGUUCCGACUAUUUCAAGAUUUAUCUCUUCUUGCAACCAGGAGCAGAUUCUUUUAGCGCCUGAAAAAUGUCUGACAUCAGGUCGAUGAGGAGUACUUAAAGGAGUACUUACUGUAACCGUAAUCACCCGUUGGAGUGAGCAUCCCUUCUCGGACGGCCUCUUUAGGCGUUGCACCGCCAACCCGCCUAAACACUAUCCCGGUCUUCCUCCAUCCCUUGCCUCUGUUCUCAGUGGGUGAAGAUGUGAAGACCGCU
Molecule: non-coding RNA, 544 nt
Organism: Cucurbita pepo subsp. pepo (vegetable marrow)
Lineage: Eukaryota; Viridiplantae; Streptophyta; Magnoliopsida; Cucurbitales; Cucurbitaceae
Source: RefSeq, a predicted model, not a curated record